This is a long non-coding RNA of Drosophila obscura, 908 nucleotides long. RefSeq lists it as uncharacterized. Lineage: Eukaryota; Metazoa; Arthropoda; Insecta; Diptera; Drosophilidae. The record is from RefSeq and is a predicted model, not a curated record. The transcript has 3 exons.
AAUAACGUUCGUUCUAUUAGGAGAGUGAAAAGAAGAUAAGCAAAAACCGUUUAUGCAUAGGGAGAGGGAAACGAAGACGAGCAGAAGCACAUGCGUCAAUUUCCAGUGAGAGCGAGCAAUUAGGAAACGAAAGAGGAGUAGGAGGAGAGCAUGGAAUGAGAGAGAUCAUUUAGCUGACCUACGCAUCUGUACCGCUCUGCCAGCUUCCAAUGUCAGUGCGAAAAAUGUGAAAAUAAACGAAAGUAUUGUUGCGCAGUAAAGUGAAGUGGAGUGGAGUGUUGUGUAGUGAAGUGUAGUGAAGUUUAGUGAAGUUGCAGUGCAGUGAUUAAACAUAAACAAAAUAUCCCAAAAACCAGGUGUAAUAGUGUUUAAUAGUGAAAAGUGAAUAAGCUGCGUGAUCAAGUGCGUUGGCGGACCAUGUGCGGAAUAUAGGGAAAUAUGUUUGCCAACAUAGCAAUACAACUAAAAUCCAUAGGCGCAUGGUUCCGUUAUGUCUGGAGAUGUCUCAAAUUUGUUCGUUCGUUUGUGAGCGCGCGUGUGUGUGUGUGAGUGAUAGAAUGCAAAAGCAGCAGCAAGUCGCUCUCCAUUCCCAGAGAGCAUUACACCAGUGAGCAGCAGAGGAGAAGAGGAGCCAGCAAUGCUCUCGUUUGCAGACUCACGACAAUGUGAGGUGAGGCUUUCCAAUUGCCCGAAGAUGUUACGCUCUCCCGUCCAACCACUUGAUCAACAUAAGCGAUUGGCGUGGGAGUAUGUGCCCUGUGAUGCCUCCACCUUAUAAUAAUCUAUCCCGAAAUUUGUGCUCUUAUUGGAAUUGGCACAUUUCAAAUCCAUUUGCGUUGUGCUGGAAGAAAAAGGAACGGUACAUGCUCGUGGGCAUAAGGUUUUCUGUAAAAGUACACAAAUAUAAA